UGCGUAGGUGGCAAGCGUUAUCCGGAAUUAUUGGGCGUAAAGAGCGCGCAGGUGGUUGAUUAAGUCUGAUGUGAAAGCCCACGGCUUAACCGUGGAGGGUCAUUGGAAACUGGUCGACUUGAGUGCAGAAGAGGGAAGUGGAAUUCCAUGUGUAGAGGUGAAAUGCGUAGAGAUAUGGAGGAACACCAGUGGCGAAGGCGGCUUCCUGGUCUGUAACUGACACUGAGGCGCGAAAGCGUGGGGAGCAAACAGGAUUAGA
RNAcentral lists this ribosomal RNA (259 nucleotides) under uncultured prokaryote. Its description in RNAcentral is "partial 16S ribosomal RNA". It matches the Rfam family "Bacterial small subunit ribosomal RNA", at positions 524 to 782 of the family's 1533-position model. The record is from RNAcentral.